This is a long non-coding RNA of Setaria italica (foxtail millet), 1012 nucleotides long. RefSeq lists it as uncharacterized. NCBI's taxonomy places the organism in Eukaryota, Viridiplantae, Streptophyta, Magnoliopsida, Poales, Poaceae. The transcript is spliced from 2 exons. The record is from RefSeq and is a predicted model, not a curated record.
ACCCUGCCGGGCGGUAAUGCCGCCGCCGCCCGAGCGCGGGCGCUCUCUCCCCCUCUACAUCUCCCGUCCUCCUUCCUCUCCUCCUGGUGUCGCCCGUAAUCUUGCUGUCACCACUCUACGUACCAUCUGCUGCCCCUCCCCAAACCCUUAGCCGCUAGGGUGGAGGUAGCGGCCGUGGCGGAGCAACGGUGCCUGACAUCGCACGCCGCCACCUCAGCUUCCCACGAGCAGAGAGCGAACACGCGCCGCCGCCGAUGCCCCCGCGCUCCCGCCGCCGUCGAACGGGGACGGCAACGCGUCCUCCAGAAGCUGCUGCUCUCUUAUCCUGCUUCCUAGGCUCCUCCCUAACGCCGCCAAGGACGGCACCCCUUCAUCCAGCGCCCUCUGCUCCUCGACCUCGAGCACCACUUCUCACAGCUCGUGGAAGCGCUGCUGCUGUCCCUGCAGGCACCGAAGUGACCGUCUUCCAGCAUCCUAGCCCAGCUAGCUGCUCGUGGAGGAGCUACUGGCGCCGGUGCUGCGCCCCUGUGCAGGUUCCCAUGCAGCAUAGCGUGCUGGUUACCACCCCAGCAGCUGCAGCGGCCGUCGGCAUGGGCGACGCUCAGUAGCUGCUCGAGGAAAUGCCUACAAGAAGGAAGGGAAGAGAAGGGAUGGGCAUACCUGGUGGUGCUCGUCACCGGCAAAGGGCCCGGUGAAGACGUCGCGAGGGGGCGCCGCUGCUCGCCCAGUCGUCGCCGCCAGGAAAAGGAAGAGAAGACCAAGUGAGAAGAGAGAGGGGAACGGGGGAAAGAGAGAGACGAACGCCCAGGCGCCCAGCAGGCAGCGGCCACCGAGCCGCGAUGCGCUGGGCCUCCCUCGUACAGAGGAGGUGGGCUGAGGCCUGAGAGAUUCGGCUCAGGGCAAGGAUAGAGAUUAGGAGUUGCUUUUUCUUAUUUGAUUUAAUUUUAGAGAUUCAAAACUUUGUUUGAACUCCAUUUGCUUCAAAGUGCCGAGGCGAGUGAUGAAUCUUAAA